AGUCGAAUUUAAUUUUCCACGCGGAAACCUUCGUUCAGAAUCUCGAGAACGAUCUUCUUGGUUAAAUUUUCGACAAAUCGUAAAAUUUUAGACCGAUCACUUUUCACCUGGGAGGAUAGAAUAACUUUUAGAUCUCGACUUACUGUCUCUGAUAAUCUUUCUGAAACUUUUAUAACGUUAUCGGAUAAUGGAUUUUCGUUGUAUCGGGAAUUUAACGUUACAUAUUCAUGAUAGAUACGCGGAAAAGUUUCAAUAAUCGAAACUUUCGAUCUCUCUCGUCACGUUCCAGAUCCCUCUCCGAGUUUCUCCCGUUCACCGAGGAAGGAUUAAUUAUCAGUUUAAAGAAGAGUUGGCUUGAAAUUGAACGAAGGAAGCUUUCUCCACUUCCAUCGACCACUAUGAUCAUUAACAUGGAAGGUUUGCAAUUUGGAAAAUUGAUGGGAUAUCAAAUCUCACGCAACCGCACUAUGCUUUGCCCGCGAGAGUAAAACGAGGCCUUCCUUCCCCUCCCUUUGAAGGAAUUCGCUGAUUACGUUGCUGAUUACGAAGCAAUUAAGGGAUCGAGGAUGUCUAAUCCGUGUAUACAACGUCUAGCACGUGGGUAUCCAAGGAUUUUAACGAGAAUUCGAUUUUUGAGAUUUUUUACAAUUGAUGAAGCUACAAAUUGGACCAGAAGUAACCUGAUUUAUUGAAACGAAUUCACGGAGAUAUACAUCGUGAAUAUCGUUAUUCUUUCUGUUCAACGAGUUAAUUGGAACGUUAUAUUCGUUACCUUCAUCAAGUUAAUUCUACCACGAAUUGACACGACAUACAAUAUUCCAAAAAUUCAUUAAAUUUAUGCACAUACGAGAAUAUUCUUAUUACGCGUUAAACGCGUAAUAAAAAUUUUUUCCAUCAUUCUUAAUUUCAACAAAUUCUAACAUUUUUUUUUUAUUUUUAAUUUUCAUAUAAAAAUCUAUAUUUAUAAUGUAACAACGGACAUAUAUUUAUUCCAAGCAACUAAAGAAUUAAAAUUACAUUAAUAAUCUGAAUAUUUCUAAGUA
Apis cerana (Asiatic honeybee) is the source of this 1043-nucleotide long non-coding RNA. RefSeq lists it as uncharacterized. The record is from RefSeq and is a predicted model, not a curated record. Lineage: Eukaryota; Metazoa; Arthropoda; Insecta; Hymenoptera; Apidae.